Long non-coding RNA from Gymnogyps californianus (California condor), 1119 nucleotides. RefSeq lists it as uncharacterized. The transcript is spliced from 5 exons. NCBI's taxonomy places the organism in Eukaryota, Metazoa, Chordata, Aves, Accipitriformes, Cathartidae. The record is from RefSeq and is a predicted model, not a curated record.
GAUACAGCCUAUUACAAGAGAUGCUGCUUCACCUCAGUAAUUUUGUUUUGUGGCUUGAAGGAAACUGGAUCCUACAGUGUUAAAACGUCUUCCAUACAAGCUAACCUACAUGCGCUGAUAUAAGAUUCUGUGGGAAUAAAGCAAUGUAUGGAAGAGUCAACCAGAGACUGACUGACUUCAGCUCAAACGAGUUCUGACUGUGGCCCUCGAAGGAAGGAACUGUCUGCACAACAUACGUAUCCAGAAAUCUCAAAAUCAGGAAAAGCUAACAUGCCCAUCAGCUGCUGUGUGAAUCCUAUGAGACUUCCUGGUUGGUUCCUGACUUUGCAGGAUAAAUGUACACUGAGUUGUAACUGACUUUCCUCCAGAAAACUUUUUCCAGACUGCUCACAUAUGUUGGUGAAACAAAGUGGCACGUUUACUGAAGUAAAAAGACUCGGCGCCAGAGGGCUGUAGGACACAUUGCUUCCUCCCAUAAGGCUGCAGAUACCUGCCGCAAGACACGCUCAUCACUUCGCUAUACCUUUCCUUAAAUAAUAAAUGUAAUUACUGUUUUUUCCUGGCCUACAUGGCUAGGACUGCUGGGCUUUCAUCUGAGUUAUGGUUUUGAGCAGGUUGAUGGGUUCAGUUUCAACGAGAGCUUGCUGAUACCUGCUAUGCUUACUCAUGGGAUCAGACAUUACCCAAGACCUGUAUUUUAAAUAAAAUCAUGGUAUACAUUUUAUCAUGAAGGAAAAAAUUAUUCUUGUCAGGAAUAAUUUUUUUAAAAUCCAGCCUAUAAUUUAUAUUCUUUUUGUUGCCAGUUAUCUAUAAUAAGUUUGAAAUUAUCCUGAAUGUAAUAUAGUUAUUCUAACUAUCAGUUGAGUAAUUUCCAUGAAUAAUUCUUGGCUUAGGGUUUGUUUCAUUUGCGAAAUUCAAACAGGCCAGGUAACUGUCUGUUCUCUGUCCAGCUAAACUCUUCAGAAUGAUCUUUCUGCUAAAUCCAGGUAAAAGUUCAAAAAUCUCUCUUUGAGUGGUCCCUAAUACUUGUUCAUGAUGCAUUUUAUUCACCUACUUAGAAAAGGUACACAGGAAAUGUGAACACAGUAGAAGUAAACUAAUGUGUUCAUGCAAAUAAAU